AGAGUUUGAUCCUGGCUCAGGAUGAACGCUAGCGGCAGGCCUAAUACAUGCAAGUCGUACGAAGCCUUCGGGCUUAGUGGCGAACGGGUGCGUAACACGUAAACAACCUGCCCUUCGGAGGGGGACAACGCCUGGAAACGGGCGCUAAUACCGCAUAACGUUGCGAAGUCGCAUGGCUUUGCAACCAAAGGAGUAAUCCGCCGGAGGAGGGGUUUGCGUUAGAUUAGCUAGUUGGCGGGGUAACGGCCCACCAAGGCAACGAUCUAUAGCUGGUCUGAGAGGAUGAUCAGCCACACUGGCACUGAGACACGGGCCAGACUCCUACGGGAGGCAGCAGUAAGGAAUAUUGGUCAAUGGGCGCAAGCCUGAACCAGCCAUGCCGCGUGCGGGAAGACGGCCCUCUGGGUUGUAAACCGCUUUUCUUGGAGAGUAAAGCCAUGGUUGCCAUGGGGUGAACGUAUCCAAGGAAUAAGCACCGGCUAACUACGUGCCAGCAGCCGCGGUAAUACGUAGGGUGCAAGCGUUGUCCGGAAUCACUGGGUUUAAAGGGUGCGCAGGCGGACUGGUAAGUCGAUGAUGAAAUGUC
This 586-nucleotide ribosomal RNA is filed under the name uncultured bacterium. Its description in RNAcentral is "bacterial SSU rRNA". It matches the Rfam family "Bacterial small subunit ribosomal RNA", at positions 8 to 603 of the family's 1533-position model. The record is from RNAcentral.